This 219-nucleotide ribosomal RNA is filed under the name uncultured bacterium. RNAcentral's name for it is "partial 16S ribosomal RNA". It matches the Rfam family "Bacterial small subunit ribosomal RNA", at positions 1284 to 1500 of the family's 1533-position model. The record is from RNAcentral.
UGUCUCAGUUCGGAUUGUAGGCUGAAACUCGCCUACAUGAAGCUGGAGUUGCUAGUAAUCGCGAAUCAGCAUGUCGCGGUGAAUACGUUCCCGGGCCUUGUACACACCGCCCGUCACACCAUGAGAGUUGGCAAUACCCAACGUACGUGAUCUAACCCGCAAGGGAGGAAGCGUCCUAAGGUAGGGUCAGCGAUUGGGGUGAAGUCGUAACAAGGUAUC